UUUCUAAGGAAGGCAGCAGUGGGGAAUAUUGCACAAUGGGCGCAAGCCUGAUGCAGCUAUGUCGCGUGUAUGAAGAAGACCUUAGGGUUGUAAAGUACUUUCAAUAGCAUAAGAAGGUAAUGAAACUAAUAAUUUUGUUAUCAGACGUUAGCUAUAAAAGAAGCACCGGCUAACUCCGUGCCAGCAGCCGCGGUAAUACGGAGGGUGCUAGCGUUAAUCGGAAUUACUGGGCGUAAAGAGCACUUAGGUGGUUUAUUAAGUCAAGUGUGAAAUCCCUAGACUUAAUCUAGGAACUGCAUUUGAAACUAAUAGACUAGAGUUUCGUAGAGGGAGGUAGAAUUCUAGGUGUAGCGGUGAAAUGCAUAGAUAUCUAGAGGAAUAUCAGUGGCGAAGGCGACCUCCUGGACGAUAACUGACGCUAAAAUGCGAAAGCAUGGGUAGCAAACAGGAUUAGAUACCCUGGUAGUCCAUGCUGUAAACGAUGUCGACUAAGAAGUUGAAAGCUUUGACUUAUAAUUUCUGUAGCUAACGCGUUAAGUCGACCGCCUGGGGAGUACGGCCGCAAGGCUAAAACUCAAAUGAAUUGACGGGGGCCUGCACAAGCGGUGGAGCAUGUGGUUUAAUUCGAUGCAACGCGUAAAACCUUACCUGGUCUUGACAUCCACAGAAUUUUAUAGAAAUAUAAAAGUGCAAUUUGAACUGUGAGACAGGUGCUGCAUGGCUGUCGUCAGCUCGUGUUGUGAAAUGUUGGGUUAAGUCCCGCAACGAGCGCAACCCUUGUUUUUUGUUACCAUCAGAUAAAGCUGGGGACUCAAAAGAAACUGCCAGUUAUAAACUGGAGGAAGGUGGGGACGACGUCAAGUCAUCAUGGCCCUUACGACCAGGGCUACACACGUGCUACAAUGGCGUAUACAAAGAGAUGCAAUAUUGUAAAAUAAAGCUAAUCUAUAAAAUACGUCUUAGUUCGGACUGGAGUCUGCAACUCGACUCCACGAAGUCGGAAUCGCUAGUAAUCGUGGAUCAGCAUGCCACGGUGAAUAUGUUUCCAGGCCUUGUACACACCGCCCGUCACACCAUGGAAGUGGGUUGCAAAAGAAGUAGAUUAAUUUAACCUUCUUAACAAGAAAAUAGUUUACCACUUUGUGAUUCAUGACU
This 1155-nucleotide ribosomal RNA is filed under the name Candidatus Annandia adelgestsuga. RNAcentral describes it as "bacterial SSU rRNA". It matches the Rfam family "Bacterial small subunit ribosomal RNA", at positions 335 to 1476 of the family's 1533-position model. The record is from RNAcentral. Lineage: Bacteria; Pseudomonadati; Pseudomonadota; Gammaproteobacteria; Enterobacterales; Enterobacteriaceae.